GUUUUUUAAUUGAAAACUUGUAUGAAUGGUUAAACGAAAUAUAAUCUGUUUCAAAAAAAAAUAAUAAAAAUUAAUUUUUUAGUAAAAAAGCUAAAAUAUAAUUAAAAGACGAGAAGACCCUAUAGAAUUUUAUAAAAAUUUUUAUUAUAAUUUAUUUAUAAUUUUUUAAAUUUUAAAAUUGUUUUUAUUUUGUUGGGGUGAUAAUAAAAAUUUUAAUCUUUUAUUAAUUUUUUACAAUGAUUUUUGAUUUAUUGAUCCAUUAUUUAUGAUUAAAAGAUUAAAUUACCUUAGGGAUAACAGCGUAAUUUUUUUGUAAAGUUCAUAUUAAUAAAAAAUUUUGC
Molecule: ribosomal RNA, 341 nt
Filed under: Austrosynapha sp. JSGS1
Lineage: Eukaryota; Metazoa; Arthropoda; Insecta; Diptera; Mycetophilidae
Description: partial 16S ribosomal RNA
Source: RNAcentral